CAGCCGCCGCGGGAAUACGGAGGGGGCUAGCGUUGUUCGGAAUUACUUGGCGUAAAGCGCACGUAGGCGGCUUGGUAAGUUAGAGGUGAAAGCCCGGAGCUCAACUCCGGAAUUGCCUUUAAGACUGCCGAGCUAGUAGGUGAGAGAGGUAAGUGGAAUUCCGAGUGUAGAGGUGAAAUUCGUAGAUAUUCGGAAGAACACCAGUGGCGAAGGCGGCUUACUGGCUCAUUCUAGACGCUGAGGUGCGAAAGCGUGGGGAGCAAACAGGAUUAGAGACCCCAGUAGUCCCUGUCUCUUAUAC
This 301-nucleotide ribosomal RNA is filed under the name uncultured bacterium. RNAcentral's name for it is "partial 16S ribosomal RNA". It matches the Rfam family "Bacterial small subunit ribosomal RNA", at positions 509 to 807 of the family's 1533-position model. The record is from RNAcentral.